RNAcentral lists this ribosomal RNA (301 nucleotides) under uncultured bacterium. RNAcentral describes it as "partial 16S ribosomal RNA". It matches the Rfam family "Bacterial small subunit ribosomal RNA", at positions 509 to 809 of the family's 1533-position model. The record is from RNAcentral.
CAGCCGCCACGGGAAAACGAAGGGGGCUAGCGUUGUUCGGAAUUACUGGGCGUAAAGCGCGCGCAGGCGGUUUUCCAAGUCAGUGGUGAAAGCCCGGAGCUCAACUCCGGAACUGCCAUUGAAACUGUUGAACUUGAGGACGAGAGAGGUGAGUGGAAUUCCCAGUGUAGAGGUGAAAUUCGUAGAUAUUGGGAAGAACACCGGUGGCGAAGGCGGCUCACUGGCUCGUUUCUGACGCUCAGGCGCGACAGCGUGGGGAUCAAACAGGAUUAGAUACCCGAGUAGUCCCUGUCUCUUAUAA